AUUGAACGCUGGCGGCAGGCCUAACACAUGCAAGUCGAGCGGAGCGGCGGACGGGUGAGUAAUGCCUAGGAAUCUGCUUGGUAGUGGGGGAUAACGUCUGGAAACGGGCGCUAAUACCGCAUCAUAUCCGAUGAUCCUAGGUCGGCUUAGCUAGUUGGUGGGGUAAAGGCCUACCAAGGCGACGAUCCGUAACUGGUCGGAGAGGAUGAUCAGUCAAACGGGAACGGAGACACGGUCCAGAAUCCUACGGGAGGCAGGAGUGGGGAAUAUUGGACAAUGGGCGAAAGCCUGAUCCAGCCAUGCCGCGUGUGUGAAGAAGGUCUUCGGAUUGUAAAGCACGUUAAGUUGGGAGGCGUUACCAACAGAAUAAGCACCGGCUAACUUCGUGCCAGCAGCCGCGGUAAUUC
Molecule: ribosomal RNA, 407 nt
Filed under: uncultured bacterium
Lineage: Bacteria
Description: partial 16S ribosomal RNA
Rfam family: Bacterial small subunit ribosomal RNA
Source: RNAcentral